UACGGAGAGUGCGAGCGUUAAUCGGAAUCACUGGGCGUAAAGCGCGCGUAGGCGGCUUUUCAAGUCAGGGGUGAAAUCCCACGGCCCAACCGUGGAACUGCCUUUGAAACUGUAGAGCUUGAGUGUCGGAGAGGGUGGCGGAAUUCCAGGUGUAGGAGUGAAAUCCGUAGAUAUCUGGAGGAACACCGGUGGCGAAGGCGGCCACCUGGACGACAACUGACGCUGAGGUGCGAAAGCGUGGGUAGCAAACAGG
This 253-nucleotide ribosomal RNA is filed under the name uncultured bacterium. Its description in RNAcentral is "partial 16S ribosomal RNA". It matches the Rfam family "Bacterial small subunit ribosomal RNA", at positions 524 to 776 of the family's 1533-position model. The record is from RNAcentral.